GGAAAAGCGUCUCUUUUCUAGCAUAGCCGCCUCCUUACACGUUGCAGUCACCGUGCGCAGAGGUGCUGAUUUAAUCAUGUGAAAAGCGUCUCCUAAAUUCAGCGACAGCUCCGGUGUGAAGGAGGUUGGUUGAAUAUGCUCCCUAUGAUAUAUAUGAGAUUGGCAUAGGAAACAUUUAUUGGAAUCAUGAACAUGACACUCCGUGUCCAGCAUCUUUUUAAGGCUCCAAGUUGAUAUCUUCUCUGAAUAGUUCCUCUGCUCAGCCUUCAUUGAUGGACAUCAAAGACUUCAUACAGCACCUCUAUUGCAGAGACCAUGCAGUGUUGCAUCUGAAAUGAAAUGCUCAGGAAGAUGAAUGAGCAGCCCUUGCAAUAAGUAGAUACAGAGACUUCUCUGAGAGGCUGCUGCUGGCAUAACCUCUUUUGGGAAAAGUCUUUCGUUUAAAGGACAUCUCUGCAAAUCAAGAAAUGAGAGUUUUGUUGUCAGCUGUGCCAGACACCAAAGAAAAAGUCAUUUUGUCCAGACACUUGAAGACUUACUUGAAGCAUGACUGUUGCACGGCCAGGCCUGAAGCAUUUCGAUCAGAAUACAGAUGUUUGCCAUUCCAGCAUCACUGCAGGAGCUGUCACCCAGAAGGAAAUGGAAAAUGCAAUAGGAGCAAAUUCUGGACGGUCUUUCAUCAAGGAGUUAAUAACCAGAUGAAGGUUCUCUUUUCAUCAGUUUGUAAGUGAUGCUCCAUUUGAUUGAAGAAGAUCAAAAAUGACGAUCAGAAAAUAACAAGGAAGUUUUAAAGGUGGCCUUUAUACAACACUUCAACCAUCUCAUUCCUGUUAUUUCAGAGAGCUGUGUCUGGUACUGGAUCUGGAAAUACGAACAUGUCUUCUCGAUGUUCUUGACCUGGCCUGCGGCCUGCAGUUGGAAUUCCCAAACCCAGGCAUGGCAGAGGAUGUCACCAUCUUCAGGUGAAGGUCUUUUGGAGGAUUGGCCCUGCAGUGGAGAAAAGAACAUGGUCAGCUUCCAGAAGCCUAUGUUCUACCUCUGAAGCAGAACUAUUAAGUGUGAGGCUAGCUUGAGAUUUCAGCUACUAAGGAAGGAAACUGAAGAGGUAGGGAAGAUGCAGUCAGCUCCUUGGCUGGAAACCAGCAGGGUUACAUUAAGGCAAUAAACUCAAACCCACACUUCUGUAAGGUCAGCAAGGAAAUGGGGAGAAGCUGCAGCCACUCAUGUCUCAGCUACUGAACAGAGACAGUUGUGGGGGUCUGAAAUAGUAUUGGCAUAACAGAGCAAUCAGAAUGAGAACACAAGAGGGACACAGUGGUACCCUCUAGUAGUGACAAUGUUGCUCCCAUCCCUUGCUGUUGUGUAUUUCAUCCAAAUACCCCAACUAUGUUCUCUUUAAUAUUAUAAGGGCUGUAGCCCUGGCUCUCUGUUGCAAAGAGGGAAACUGAGGCACAAUAAGGCAAAGAUAUCAUCCUAAACUAUUCCAUCUUGCAAUUUGAACUGUUCCCCCUGAGAAUGAGCUCACACACAUUUAUUUAUGGUUUCAGUCUAGGAGUGAUAUGGGUUUCUGGUACUUGAUAUUUCAUAGCUUCUAAUUACCCUGCAUAGUGAAGCCUGCAGAGAAUCAGAAAAUGUUACAUUUAAUUUUGGAUCAAAUUUAAUGAAGCACUGGUCUUUCGGAGAAGCACUGUAUUUUCAGGCAAUCUCAGAGAACUCAACAAAAGGCACAUUUUAUUGCAGGUGCUUUGCACAACCUUCAUCGGGAUUAAAUUUGAUGGAAAAUGGGAUAUCUGAAUAUGGAUUCAUACCACUAUACUUCUUAGAAAAUUCUUGAUCCCACAGUUCUGAAGCUCAGUUAUCUUAAGAUCUAAUUUUUAAAAUCAGUUAUCUUUUCAG
Molecule: long non-coding RNA, 1896 nt
Organism: Lagopus leucura (white-tailed ptarmigan)
Lineage: Eukaryota; Metazoa; Chordata; Aves; Galliformes; Phasianidae
Exons: 7
Source: RefSeq, a predicted model, not a curated record